This 73-nucleotide transfer RNA is filed under the name Zingiber officinale. RNAcentral's name for it is "tRNA-Tyr". It matches the Rfam family "tRNA". Rfam says of the family: Transfer RNA (tRNA) molecules are approximately 80 nucleotides in length. Their secondary structure includes four short double-helical elements and three loops (D, anti-codon, and T loops). The record is from RNAcentral. Lineage: Eukaryota; Viridiplantae; Streptophyta; Magnoliopsida; Zingiberales; Zingiberaceae.
CUGACCUUAGCUCAGUUGGUAGAGCGGAGGAUUGUAGAUCCUUAGGUCGCUGGUUCGAAUCCGGUAGGUUGGA